This is a long non-coding RNA of Malaclemys terrapin pileata, 1274 nucleotides long. RefSeq lists it as uncharacterized. The transcript has 3 exons. The record is from RefSeq and is a predicted model, not a curated record. NCBI's taxonomy places the organism in Eukaryota, Metazoa, Chordata, Testudines, Emydidae.
GGUAGGAACCCAGCAGGACUAAGCUUCUGCUCCCUGCCCCCGUGGGAGGGGGUGGGGCAGGGCGGAGAAGGGCAGGCCAGGCCAGGCCGUAUUUUUAAUGGCAUCCUGCUGCCUGCUAGGACCCCGGCAGGUAGCAGCCUGCCAUCGGUUGCCAACCCCUGCAGUAGAUGAUGCAUCUGAUUUGAUGACAUAUUAUCUGCUAUAUCUGAACACAGACACUAUAGUAGGAUUACCAUAUUUUGAGUGUCCAAAAAGAGGACACUCCACAGGGCCCCAGCCCCAACUCCACCCUUUCCCCAAAGUCCCCGCCCCAACUCCACCCCCUCCCCUGCUUCCUGCAAACAUUUGAUUCGUGGGAAACCUGAAGCAGGCAGCAGAGAGAUACUCAAGGGCUUCUUCUAUAUAGGAUGGCUUUCCUUUAUGUUUUGUCCAUACUUUCAAAAAGUGUUGAUGAUCAUAAUCAUCCCAGCCUCCUUGUCGUCCUCCUGUUUGCUGAAGGAACCUUUCAAAUUCUACUACUUCUUCAGGAAACUUAAUGCUGGUGAAAAGAAUGUGACUGAGAGCCUUUGUUUUCAGUCCUGCAACAGGAUGUGCAAUGAUGAGCCUUUACAAUCUCAUGGAGUCUUGAAGAGUGGAGAUAUGUCAGUAUCAGGUGAAGUCAGUGGGACUCCUAGCAGGUAUACAGGUCUGCCGGCAUGCUUCCCACGUGUGCAGCUUUUGGGGGUGGGGGGGAUUUCCCCCCAAACAGAGGCGAGGCAUGGGGGGGCACAUGGGGUUACAUGCCACUGCCCUCCUCAUUUCUGCAAAAGCAGAGCUGCCCAGCUCCGGUCUGGUCUCAGGCUCCACUGACUCUGCAGCUGAACACAACCUCCUGGGUCCUAGUGCCAGUUGUGCUCCCCUUCUGUGUUCUGGGAGCCUUCCUAUUUUCUGUGGAAUAGUGAGUUCCCACAGUGGGGCUGGGUAAGUGGGGGUGGAGGAAAUGAGGGAAGGGGGCUGAGUGGAGAAGGCAGUGGGGAAGGAAAGGAGGUGAAAUAGGGCAGGGGGAGGGGAAUAUGGGAGUGAGGGGAAGGGGAUGGAGAAAAAAAGGGGAUAGGGGAAUUACUGGGGUAAGCAGGAUCCUGGCAUGCGGCAUCCCCUUGGCAGCAGCUGGGGUCCCCCAUUAAGCAAGCCCAUCGAACCCUCACCCUGACAUACCAUACCCCCCUACACCUGGACCCUUCCGACAAGCCCCACACACGCAGAGCCCCACUGAGCCCCAACCAGCUGCACCUGGA